ACCCCGCUUGUUCAGCAAGAUGAAGAAAAAGCGCGCGAGAAGAACGUUCUGCUGAUCGUGGGAUUGGGAAAGCCCAAAGCCCGAAAAAACCGUUCCCCGAGGAUUGGGAUAGCCCAAAGCCCGCUCAAAUAUCAGCAGCCCGGUCGCGAUCCAGAAAGGCGCAAAGUAGCGUAAGUUUUCUUUCAACCAAAGCUUCUGAUUCGUUGAGAAUGCAAUUCAAAGCUCCUCAAUAUCCCACGAAUUCCACUUUCUCAUACUUUCCCACUCUCGUCAAAUUCCAAUAAAACCAUUUCCUCACCCUUUACAAAAAGAAUUUUCACAUCUCCAACUUCUUUCAAUUUUUCCGGCUAUCGAUGGCAACAAGAAACCGUACCGUAGUGUACAAGAAGCACAGAGAUGAAGUCAAGAGCGUGCGUGCUCCUUUAUCAUCGUCGCUGCCCGGUUCUAGCGGUCCGGUUAUCGAAAUGGUUAGCGCUUCGUUUCUUCGCUCCCAACAUUCCUCUUAUACUCCACUGAGCACCGAAGAUCCAGGUCCUUCCACUUCCAGUGGUGAUGCGUUUACGAUUGGUCUGCCGCUGGCGUGGGUGGAUGAUUCUGAGGAAAUAUCGCUGAAUAUUCAAAGAAUUCGAACCAAAAUGGGUGAGUUAGUCAAGGCGCACGCGAAAGCUUUAAUGCCAACAUUUGGAGACGGAAAAGAAGAUGAACGAGUGAUUGAAGGUCUUACUCGAGAGAUUACGGGUUUAUUGAGAAAUUCCGGGACUAGAUUAAAGAAAAUUUCUGCAAGUGAGUCUUUUGAGGACUCAAAUGUAAGAAAGAAUGUACAGCGGGCGCUUGCAACAGAACUUCAGAACUUGUCGAUGGAUCUCCGUAGAAAACAAUCCAUGUAUCUAAAACGUCUGCAGCAGCAAAAAGAGGGACAUGACGGGGUUGAUUUAGAGAUGAGCCUGAAUGCGAACAAGUUUAGAUCGGAAGAUGAUGGAUUUAGUGACGUGGGUUUUAAUGAGGGUCAGAUGCUUAAGCUAAAGAAGAGUGAGCAAUUUACUGUUGACAGGGAAAGCGAGAUCAAACAGGUCACAGAAUCAGUGCAUGAGCUUGCUCAAAUCAUGAAAGACCUAUCGGUUCUGGUGAUAGAUCAGGGCACAAUUGUUGAUCGGAUAGACUAUAAUAUUCAUAAUGUUGCGUCAACAGUAGAGGAGGGCUUUAAACAGUUGCAGAAGGUCCAAUUCUCUCUUUCUCUCCGACUUGCAGAAGCUGGGAUGAUAACAUAUUCACAUGUGUGCAUACACGCUACCACCCACGGCACAGCACAUCCAUCUUUCUAGAACAGAGUUUCUAAUUUUGUGAAAUUCAACAUGUUCUUUCUGUUGCUAAUACCAUCCAUACACUGAUCAAUUCUAUGCAGAGAGAAAUCAGAAGAAAGGAGGAAUGGUGAUGUGUGCAACAGUACUUGUUAUAAUGUGCUUCAUAAUGCUGACCCUCUUGAUCCUCAAGGAGUCGCUGUUGUGAUCAAAUUAUGUUGUCAUUUGACACCUUGAGCCUGUUGUGCAUAGCUCUCGAAUUCAAUGAAAAACAAACUGACUGAUAGGUUUUAACCCACUUGGAUUGUGGAGAUUAAAUGGUUCGAGAUCACAUUUUACCAUGCCGGUAGCUGAGCAUCCCUCCCCUUCAUCAUUUGAUUGGUGGGCUCGUCCAGCUUCUGUUCUUUAUUGCAAGUGUCUACAGACUACCGCCCUCAUUUCGACAUGGAGAUGCUUUUUUGUGUACAUGUGAGCAGGCAUAGAAGCCAAGGGUAUAUGAUGGUUGAACUAAUACUAACCAAAAGUUACUGCACGAAUUUGUUAGCAUAGCAUCCUUUCCGUUCAUGCUUAUUUUGUAUAUAAUGUUUUUUUUUAAUCUAAACGCUUUUAUUUAUUUUAAGUAGAA
Molecule: RNA transcript, 1923 nt
Organism: Populus trichocarpa (black cottonwood)
Lineage: Eukaryota; Viridiplantae; Streptophyta; Magnoliopsida; Malpighiales; Salicaceae
Gene name: tlg2p-like protein a
Exons: 8
Source: RefSeq, a predicted model, not a curated record